This 798-nucleotide ribosomal RNA is filed under the name uncultured Porphyromonadaceae bacterium. Its description in RNAcentral is "bacterial SSU rRNA". It matches the Rfam family "Bacterial small subunit ribosomal RNA", at positions 8 to 795 of the family's 1533-position model. Lineage: Bacteria; Pseudomonadati; Bacteroidota; Bacteroidia; Bacteroidales; Porphyromonadaceae. The record is from RNAcentral.
AGAGUUUGAUCCUGGCUCAGGGUGAACGCUAGCGAUAGGCCUAACACAUGCAAGUCGAGGGGCAGCACAUGAAGUAGCAAUACGGAUGGUGGCGACCGGCGCACGGGUGAGUAACGCGUAUGCAACCUGCCUACAACAGGGGAAUAACCCGUUGAAAGACGGACUAAUACCCCAUAACACAGGGAUCCCGCAUGGGAAUAUUUGUUAAAGAUUUAUCGGUUGUAGAUGGGCAUGCGUUCCAUUAGCUGGUUGGUGAGGUAACGGCUCACCAAGGCAACGAUGGAUAGGGGAACUGAGAGGUUUAUCCCCCACACUGGUACUGAGACACGGACCAGACUCCUACGGGAGGCAGCAGUGAGGAAUAUUGGUCAAUGGACGCAAGUCUGAACCAGCCACGUCGCGUGAAGGAAGACGGCCCUACGGGUUGUAAACUUCUUUUGUAAGGGAAUAAAGUGCAGUACGUGUACUGUUUUGCAUGUACCUUACGAAUAAGGAUCGGCUAACUCCGUGCCAGCAGCCGCGGUAAUACGGAGGAUCCGAGCGUUAUCCGGAUUUAUUGGGUUUAAAGGGUGCGCAGGCGGGAGAUUAAGUCGGCGGUGAAAUUUUGCAGCUCAACUGUAAAAGUGCCUUCGAAACUGGUUUUCUUGAGUGUGGAUGAAGUAGGCGGAAUUUGUGGUGUAGCGGUGAAAUGCAUAGAUAUCACGAGGAACUCCGAUUGCGCAGGCAGCUUACUAAACCAUAACUGACGCUCAGGCACGAAGGCGUGGGGAUCAAACAGGAUUAGAUACCCUGGUAGUC